This 877-nucleotide ribosomal RNA is filed under the name uncultured bacterium. RNAcentral's name for it is "bacterial SSU rRNA". It matches the Rfam family "Bacterial small subunit ribosomal RNA", at positions 28 to 896 of the family's 1533-position model. The record is from RNAcentral.
AAUAAACGCUGGCGGCGUGCCUAACACAUGCAAGUCGGAUGUGCCGCAAGGUGCAUGGCAGACGGGUGAGUAACGCGUGGGGAAUCUACCUUUUUGUGGGGAAUAACGCUCCGAAAGGAGUGGUAAUACCGCAUGAGACCGAGUGCUGGGAUGCAUUUGGUGAAACCUGGGGACCGGUAACGGCCUGGGGCAAAGAGAGGAUCCUGCGUCUGAUUAGCUAGUUGGCGGGGUAAUGGCCCACCAAGGUGACGAUCAGUAGCCGGCCUGAGAGGGUGAUCGGCCACACUGGAACUGAGACACGGUCCAGACUCCUACGGGAGGCAGCAGUGGGGAAUUUUGCGCAAUGGGCGAAAGCCUGACGCAGCAACGCCGCGUGGGUGAUGAAGGUCUUCGGACUGUAAAACCCUUUCGUCAGGGACGAAGAUGUAUACGUUAAUAGCGUGUGCAUUUGACGGUACCUGGAGAGGAAGCCCCGGCUAACUCUGUGCCAGCAGCCGCGGUAAUACAGAGGGGGCAAGCGUUAUUCGGAAUUAUUGGGCGUAAAGGGCGCGUAGGCGGUUUUUUAAGUCAGAUGUGUAAUCCCCGAGCUUAACUUGGGAACUGCAUCUGAGACUGGAAGGCUAGAGUACUGGAGAGGGUGGUGGAAUUCCUCGUGUAGCGGUGAAAUGCGUAGAGAUGAGGAGGAACACCAGUGGCGAAGGCGGCCACCUGGACAGUAACUGACGCUGAGGCGCGAAAGUGUGGGUAGCAAACAGGAUUAGAUACCCUGGUAGUCCACGCUGUAAACGAUGAACACUUGGUGUGGAGGGAGUUGACCCCUUCCGUGCCGGAGCUAACGCGUUAAGUGUUCCGCCUGGGGAGUACGGUCGCAAGGCUG